Molecule: ribosomal RNA, 441 nt
Filed under: uncultured bacterium
Lineage: Bacteria
Description: partial 16S ribosomal RNA
Rfam family: Bacterial small subunit ribosomal RNA
Source: RNAcentral
CCUACGGGUGGCAGCAGUGGGGAAUAUUGCACAAUGGGGGAAACCCUGAUGCAGCAACGCCGCGUGAGUGAGGAAGUAUUUCGGUAUGUAAAGCCCUAUCAGCAGGGAAUAGAAAAGAAGGUACCUGAAAAAGAAGCCCCUGCUAACUACGUGCCAGCAGCCGCAGUAAUACGUAGGGGGCAAGCGUUAACCGGAUUUACUGGGUGUAAAGGGAGGGUAGACGGAAAGGCAAGUCAGAAGUGAAAGCCCAAGGCUCAACCAUGGUACUGCUUUUGAAACUAUCAAACUAGAGUACGGGAGAGGUAAGAGGAAUGCGUGGUGUAGCGGUGAAAUGCGUAGAUAUUAGGAAGAACACCGGUUGCGAAGGCGUCUUACUGGACCGAAACUGACGUUGAGGCACGAAAGUGUGGGGAGCGAACAGGAUUAGAUACCCGUGUAGUC